GGCGGCAGGCUUAACACAUGCAAGUCGAGCGCCCAGCAAUGGGAGCGGCGGACGGGUGAAUAACGCGUGGGAAUAUGCCCUUUGGUACGGAACAACUCAGGGAAACUUGAGCUAAUACCGUAUGAGCCGGUAACGGGAAAGAUUUAUCGCCAAAGGAUUAGCCCGCGUCCGAUUAGCUAGUUGGUGAGGUAAUGGCUCACCAAGGCACCGAUCGGUAGCUGGUCUGAGAGGACGACCAGCCACACUGGGACUGAGACACGGCCCAGACUCCUACGGGAGGCAGCAGUGGGGAAUCUUGGACAAUGGAGGAAACUCUGAUCCAGCCAUGCCGCGUGAGUGAUGAAGGCCUUAGGGUUGUNAAACUCUUUCGGCGGGGACGAUAAUGACGGUACCCGCAGAAGAAGCUCCGGCUAACUUCGUGCCAGCAGCCGCGGUAAUACGAAGGGGGCUAGCGUUGUUCGGAAUUACUGGGCGUAAAGCGCGCGCAGGCGGCCUUUCAAGUCAGGGGUGAAAGCCCGGAGCUCAACUCCGGAAUUGCCUUUGAAACUGCAAGGCUUGA
RNAcentral lists this ribosomal RNA (559 nucleotides) under uncultured Alphaproteobacteria bacterium. RNAcentral's name for it is "bacterial SSU rRNA". It matches the Rfam family "Bacterial small subunit ribosomal RNA", at positions 38 to 645 of the family's 1533-position model. Lineage: Bacteria; Pseudomonadati; Pseudomonadota; Alphaproteobacteria. The record is from RNAcentral.